RNAcentral lists this unclassified non-coding RNA (277 nucleotides) under plant metagenome. RNAcentral describes it as "partial contains 5.8S ribosomal RNA, internal transcribed spacer 2, and large subunit ribosomal RNA". The stretch from base 1 to 105 matches the Rfam family "5.8S ribosomal RNA", at positions 50 to 154 of the family's 154-position model. The record is from RNAcentral.
GAAAGGCGAAACGUAAUGUGAAUCGCAACUAACAGUGAAUCAUCGAAUCUUUGAACGCAAAUUGCACUCUUUGGUAUUCCGAAGAGUAUGCCUAUUUGAGAAUCAAUUAAUUAAUCAACAUAUCGAUACACUUAUUGGCUUGAUAUUUGUAUCGGAUUUGAGCUAUCUUGAUGACAAAGUGGCUUAAAAUUGGAUACCUGACCCAUUUUUUGACUCAUUUUUCGCAAAAACAAAAAUUUGAUCUCAAAUUAGGUAAGAUUACCCGCUGAACUUAAGC